CAUGGGUUUGGAAAUUAUUAUUUCCUAUGAGUGUAAGAUAUUUUUAUUAGAAGCUUCAAUGAUAUUGGCUGUCUUGUUCGAGAUGGCAAUGUAUUGAAUAUAGAUCGGAUCAGUCAAUAUUCGUAUCAAUCCCAUAAUUAAAAACUCUAUACCCAUAUCCGCCCCAUUCCCACCUCGGAUCGGGUCAAGUCAGGUUAAAUAGAAAUACAGAUCAGAUCG
RNAcentral lists this long non-coding RNA (219 nucleotides) under Elaeis guineensis (African oil palm). RNAcentral's name for it is "long non-coding RNA (EGUI_LNC058260)". Lineage: Eukaryota; Viridiplantae; Streptophyta; Magnoliopsida; Arecales; Arecaceae. The record is from RNAcentral.